This 72-nucleotide transfer RNA is filed under the name Podarcis lilfordi (Lilford's wall lizard). RNAcentral describes it as "tRNA.Lys". The stretch from base 7 to 64 matches the Rfam family "tRNA", at positions 8 to 63 of the family's 71-position model. From Rfam's summary of the family: Transfer RNA (tRNA) molecules are approximately 80 nucleotides in length. Their secondary structure includes four short double-helical elements and three loops (D, anti-codon, and T loops). Lineage: Eukaryota; Metazoa; Chordata; Lepidosauria; Squamata; Lacertidae. The record is from RNAcentral.
GAUUUGUGGCUCAGUCAGUAGAGCAUGAGACUCUUAAUCUCAGGGUCGUGGGUUCAAGUCUCAUGUUGGGCA